UGUUGUCACCACCUGUGUCAUCCCCCAUGGUCCCAUUGUUGGCACCGCCUGUGUCGUCCCCCCCAGUCCCAUUGUUGUCAUUGCCUAUUGUCACCACCUGUGUCAUCCUCUGUGGUCCCCCUGUUGUCACCGCCUGUUGUCACCGCCUGUUGUCACCGCCUGUGUCAUCCCCUGCAGUCCCAUUGUUGUCACUGCCUGUUGGCACCGCCUGUGUCGUCCCCCGCGGUCCCCUUGUUGUCACCGCCUGUUGUCACCACCUGUGUCAUCCCCCAUGGUCCCCUUGUUGGCACCGCCUGUUGUCACUGCCUGUGUCGCCCCCUGUU
This 323-nucleotide long non-coding RNA is filed under the name Numida meleagris (helmeted guineafowl). RNAcentral's name for it is "lncRNA (ENSNMEG00000006392.1)". The record is from RNAcentral. Lineage: Eukaryota; Metazoa; Chordata; Aves; Galliformes; Numididae.